GUCCACGCUGUAAACGAUGUGUGCUAGACGUUGGGGAGCCUAGCUCUUCGGUGUCGCAGCUAACGCUUUAAGCACACCGCCUGGGGAGUACGGCCGCAAGGUUAAAACUCAAAGGAAUUGACGGGGGCCCGCACAAGCGGUGGAGCAUGUGGUUUAAUUCGACGCAACGCGAAGAACCUUACCAGCCCUUGACAUGUCCGGUAUGGGUGGGGGAGACCUCAUUCUUCAGUUCGGCUGGCCGGAACACAGGUGCUGCAUGGCUGUCGU
This 267-nucleotide ribosomal RNA is filed under the name uncultured bacterium. Its description in RNAcentral is "partial 16S ribosomal RNA". It matches the Rfam family "Bacterial small subunit ribosomal RNA", at positions 793 to 1055 of the family's 1533-position model. The record is from RNAcentral.